This 570-nucleotide long non-coding RNA is filed under the name Gossypium barbadense (sea-island cotton). Its description in RNAcentral is "long non-coding RNA (GBAR_LNC016877)". The record is from RNAcentral. Lineage: Eukaryota; Viridiplantae; Streptophyta; Magnoliopsida; Malvales; Malvaceae.
AUAAUAAACUCUUUUAAGGGUAAAAAAUGAGGUGUCGCUUUUAUUGGAUAAAUGGAAAUAUGUACGAUCCAACAGCCUUAGAAACCCAUUUUUCUCUUUUUCUUAUUUUCCGCCUACUUUCUUCUAUUUGGGUGGUCAUCUUCAUUGACGUGAUAAAAAGAGUGAGUUGGCCUUUUCAUACCCUUUUUAAGGUUAGUGGCAUUAGAUUUUAGAGGCUUUCAAAGGGUAUUACGAUAUGAUAAUUGUUAGGGUUUCCGAUAGAUAUUUCAUUUAUCAGGGAUAAUUGCUUAUUCUUAUUUCCUUUUUCUUUCUUGGGUUUAUCUAGCUGGUCAUUGUGAUAAUGUCUAGCUUAUUCCAUGCUAAAUGUUGCUAUUUCCUUACCAUUUUUUUCCAUUAUAUUUUGCAAAAGAAAGGAUAUGGUAUUAUUGGGAUAUAAAACCAGCACAACAUAUCACAUGGAAAGGUGCAUUUUGAUGGGAAGGGGGAAUGGGUUAAUACGAGCACUUUGCACAAUUUUAGCUCUAUCCCUAACUCAUUUUCAAUUAUUAGUGGUACCAUUGCUAAACUUUG